RNAcentral lists this non-coding RNA (74 nucleotides) under chicken gut metagenome. Its description in RNAcentral is "Cyclic di-GMP-I riboswitch". It matches the Rfam family "c-di-GMP-I riboswitch aptamer", at positions 11 to 85 of the family's 87-position model. From Rfam's summary of the family: GEMM was predicted in a large-scale screen for bacterial structured RNA regulatory elements. Genes associated with GEMM are involved in a diverse array of functions, including chemotaxis regulation, signal transduction, secretion and chitin. The record is from RNAcentral.
UUGGCAAACUUAUCGAAAGGUAAGGACGCAAAGCUAUGGGUCUAAACUCAUCGGAGUAUGACAGCCGGUUGCCG